ACAGAGGGGGCAAGCGUUGUUCGGAAUUACUGGGCGUAAAGGGCGCGUAGGCGGCCUGCUAAGUCGAACGUGAAAUCCCUGGGCUCAACCCAGGAACUGCGUCCGAUACUGGUUGGCUUGAAUCCGGGAGAGGGAUGCGGAAUUCCAGGUGUAGCGGUGAAAUGCGUAGAUAUCUGGAGGAACACCUGUGGUGUAGACAGCUUACUGGACCAUUUCUGACGCUGAGACACGAAAGCGUGGGUAGCAAACAGGA
Molecule: ribosomal RNA, 253 nt
Filed under: uncultured prokaryote
Description: partial 16S ribosomal RNA
Rfam family: Bacterial small subunit ribosomal RNA
Source: RNAcentral